This 84-nucleotide transfer RNA is filed under the name Blattella germanica (German cockroach). Its description in RNAcentral is "tRNA-Leu (TAA) (tRNA-Leu-TAA-19-1)". It matches the Rfam family "tRNA". Rfam says of the family: Transfer RNA (tRNA) molecules are approximately 80 nucleotides in length. Their secondary structure includes four short double-helical elements and three loops (D, anti-codon, and T loops). The record is from RNAcentral. Lineage: Eukaryota; Metazoa; Arthropoda; Insecta; Blattodea; Blattellidae.
GCCAGAUUGGCCGAGCGGUCUAAGGCGCCAGACUUAAGUUCUGGUCCUCUUUAGAGGGCGUGGGUUCAAAUCCCACUUUUGACA